Molecule: ribosomal RNA, 528 nt
Filed under: uncultured bacterium
Lineage: Bacteria
Description: partial 16S ribosomal RNA
Rfam family: Bacterial small subunit ribosomal RNA
Source: RNAcentral
UGGGGAAUAUUGGACAAUGGGCGCAAGCCUGAUCCAGCCAUGCCGCGUGAGUGAUGAAGGCCCUAGGGUUGUAAAGCUCUUUCAGCGAGGAGGAUAAUGACGUUACUCGCAGAAGAAGCCCCGGCUAACUUCGUGCCAGCAGCCGCGGUAAUACGAAGGGGGCUAGCGUUGUUCGGAAUCACUGGGCGUAAAGCGCACGUAGGCGGACUUUUAAGUCAGGGGUGAAAUCCCGGGGCUCAACCUCGGAACUGCCUUUGAUACUGGAAGUCUGGAGUCCGAGAGAGGUGAGUGGAACUCCGAGUGUAGAGGUGAAAUUCGUAGAUAUUCGGAAGAACACCAGUGGCGAAGGCGGCUCACUGGCUCGGUACUGACGCUGAGGUGCGAAAAGCGUGGGGAGCAAACAGGAUUAGAUACCCUGGUAGUCCACGCCGUAAACGAUGGAAGCUAGCCGUCAGGGUGCAUGCAUCUUGGUGGCGCAGUUAACGCAUUAAGCUUCCCGCCUGGGGAGUACGGUCGCAAGAUUAAAAA